Molecule: long non-coding RNA, 11557 nt
Organism: Homo sapiens (human)
Lineage: Eukaryota; Metazoa; Chordata; Mammalia; Primates; Hominidae
Exons: 3
Source: RefSeq, a predicted model, not a curated record
UGCCUAAUGAGUCAUACAGAGAGAAAAGUAAGUUAUAAAUUAUGUCCCCCAUUUGCUGCAACUCUCAGUGGUAAGAAUGAUUCAGUGCAGCUAUAGGAGAGUACUUCCAUUGGCAUGCCACCUGCCUAAAAUACACAAUUUUGUUAAGAUAUACAAUAAAAUUAUUAUGCUAAUAGCAAAUAUUUUAUGUAGCUCACUAUGUUCCACGUAGUCUUCUAAGUGUUUCAUGUUAGUCCCCAGUUAAACACCUGGUUUUGGAAGGCUGAAGCAGGAGGAUCGUUUGAGCCCAUGAGUUUGAGACCAGCCAGAGCAAUAUAGUGAGACCCUGUCUCUAAAAAAAAAAAAAAAAAAAAAAAAAAAAAAAAAAAAAAAUUUAAACACUUAUCUGAGGCAUGGUGGUGCACGCCUGUAGUCCCAGCUACAUUGGGAGGCUGUGGUAGGAGGGUCGUUUGAGCUUGGAAUAUUGAGGCUGUAGUGAACAGUGAUCAAGCCGCUGCACUCCAGGCUGGGUAACAGAGGGAGACUCUGUCUCAUAAAUAAAACGUUUUGUAUAGAUUCCCUUAGAAGUGAGUUAGACAUCAGUCAUAGAAUUAUUAGCCACUUUGAUGUCUACCUUGGGAGUAAAACAUAUAAUAAGGGGCAGCAUUAAACCAUCUCAAUCACUAGCCUCCAACUUCUCAAGAAGGUUCUUAUUUCAUGAAUUUCUACACAAAAGACUAACUGGGUUAAGACAUUUGGUGGACACCAUUUUGAGAUGAAGAAUCUUGAGUGAGAAGAAGGGAGAUCUCUACUUACUGAAGCUUCCCAAUGACAUAGUUAAAUGUCCCCCAAAAGAAACUUUAGAACAAGACUUUCAUCAUGCCAUAUCUCUAUGGAAAAGGAAUUUCUUUAAAAGAAAACAAAGGCAAACAAUUGAUAAUAUGAUUCUCAUGGGAAAGUUUUCAUCAUAAAAGAAAAAGAGGGCUGGGUGCCGUGGCUCACGUCUGUAAUCCCAACACUUUGGGAGGCUGAGGUGCGUGGAUUACCUGAGGUCAGCAGUUCAAAAACAGCCUGGACAACAUAGUGAAAACCUGUCUCUACUGAAAAUACAAAAAUUAGCCAGGUGUGGUGGUGUGCACCUGUAGUCGCAGCUACUUGGGAUGCCGAGGCAGGAGAAUCACUUGAACCCAGGAGGUGGAAGUUGCAGUAAGCCGAGAUGGUGCCACUGCACUCCAGCCUGGAUGACACAGUGUGACUCCAUCAAAAAAAGAAAAAAAGAAAAACAAAAAAAGGGACAAAGUAUACUGGUCCAAAAAAGAAGAAAGCAAGAAAAAAAGGACAAAGUAUACUGGUUAGUAUCAUAACAGUGAGAUAGUCCCCCUUUGAGAUUAGAAAAUAACAGUAUACUCAAAGUAACAUUAAUGAGAACCAACAUAAAAUAGACAACAUUCACUAUCUACAAAAGUAAUCUGCACCAAUUAGCAAUGUAUGAGCAUGUGGUUGAGAAUAUUUUCUAUAAUAUGGGUACUAGAAGGAAGAGACCUCAAGAAAAUGGUCAGAGCUGGAAAUGUAGAUUAGGGAAUCUAGGUCAAAGUUUUGAGAUUUUAGGAGUCCUGAGAGAAUUUAAAAAGAGAAAUAGCCACCAGGCAUGGUGGCCACACCUGUAAUCCCAGCACUUUGGGAGGCCAAGGCAGGAAGAUCAUGAGGUCAGGAGUUCAAGACCAGUCUGGCCAACAAGUUUCUUAUAUAGGUAAACGUGUUCCAUGAUGGUUUGCUGCACCUAUCAAUCCAUCACCUAGAUAUUAAGCCCUGUGGGCAUUAGUUAUUGAUCUUGAUGCUCUCCCUCCUGACCCCAACAGGCCCCAGUGUUUGUUGUUCCCCUCCCUGAGUCCAUGUGUUCUUAUCGUUCAGCUCCCACUUAUAAGUGAGAAGAUGCAGUGUUUGGUUUUUUCUUCCUGCAUUAGUUUGCUGAAGAUAUCAGCUUCGGGUUCAUCCAUAUCCCUGCAAAGAGCACGAUCUCAUUCAUUUUUAUGGCUCCAUAGUAUUCCAUGGUGUAUAUAUACCACAUUUUCUUUAUCCCAUUAUCACUGAUAAUGUCCAUCUGGGUUGAUUCCAUGUCUUUACUAUUGUGAAUAGUGCUGCAGUGAACAUGCAAAUGCAUGUAUCUUUAUAAUAGAAUAAUUUAUAUUCCAACGUAUGGUAAUUUUAAAUCAGUUUUGGUAUUAAAAAUCAUGCAUUUUGGAAAAUAUUGAUAAUGGAAAAAUCCAAAUUCUGCCAAAAUAUGUUGAGAAAAUAGAGAGUAAAUAUAUCUUUUCAAACUUUAAAUGCCUCAGGCUUUUAGUUAAUCUUCCCCAGAUCUGGGAAGACCUAGAAGGGGAGAUUGGGCUACCUUAAUGAGGGCCAUUUCAAUCUCUUGGCCCUGCAGCAGCCAUUUCAAAAUACGUCAAACAAUAUAUUUGGGGGUAAAUUAUUUUGAUUUCCUUCAGCUUCUUCUCUCUGUGAUGUUGCACCAGAAUCAGAUUAGAAAGGAAGCCACAUUAUAAGUGUUAAUAAAACCCAUCUGAUGAGAUUUGAUAGUUUGAAGGGUGUGUUUCCCAGACCCUUUAGAUAGAAAUUAGGGCCAAGGAAAACAAGGUCUUAUUCCUCUAUAUAAAUCUGUCAGUGCUUUAAGCAGUGAAAGAAAGAUUUUUCAUUGAAUUUUACAGACUUGAUACUAAUGAAAAGGAUAGCUUGUAAAAUAUAAAUCUAUUUUUCUAUAAAAAGGACAUGUUGUUGAUUCUCUUAGACCUUGAACCCUGGCCAGUGAUUUGAAACCAAGCAGUACCUAUCUGCAGAUCUCUAGUACCAAAUUAAUUUGGGGUGGGGGGUAACAGGUUUAUUGAGAAAUAAUGAACACGCCAUGCAAUUCACUCAUUUAAAGUAUAGAAUUCAUUAACUUUAGUAUUUUCAGAGAGUUAUGCCGUCAUCAUUACAAUUAAUUUUAGAACAUUUUCAUCACCCUAAAAACAAACCCCACAUCAUUUAGCCAUCUUCACUAGUUUUCCCUUCCUCCCUCAGCCCUAGGGAACCACCCACCUUCUUUGUAUAGAUUUGCCUAUAAGCCUCUGAAAUAAAAAGCAAGUGGUCUGCUGGGACUGGCUUAUUUCACUUAGCAUAAUUUUUCAUGCUGCAUCUGUGCUGUAGCAGGUAUUGAUGCCGGGUUUUUGCUCCUUAGUUCAGCUACAUCUGUGUUCUUCUCUCAUGACCAGGAAAAAUUAAGCCUGCAGACACAUUGAGGAGGGCAGAAUUUAUUAUGUGAAAGCACAGCUCUCAGCAAAGAGAGGGGUCCUGCAAAGAGGUUUCCACCUCACAAUUGAAUACCAGGAGCACAUGAGCUGAAGCGGCCAGGCUCCUCCUCUGCAUAAGGUGUGAAUUCCUGGUGACUCCACCCCAUCCCCCCACUGCAUGUGGGCCUCCAGUCUGCUGUGGGCAUGUCCAGGCAAGACAAGUCCAGGUUCCCUUAUCUGCACAUAACAUCAGGUGUAAACACUUGUGGGGCUCGUUGGAGAUUCUCCGGGGACCCUUCCGUAUCUGCCUAGGCAUUUUGCUGUCUCCUCCUAAUACGAUCGAAUAAGAAAAUAGCAAUGAUCAGUAUCAGCUCUUUAUGGAGAAAGAGCAGGUGAAAUAUUUUCUCAGCACUCUUCCUACAAGGCGAGGUCGAGAGUCACCUUGUGUUGAAAAUCUUACUAGUAUAGGACUCAACAGAAAAUAUAUUCCCCAAAUGCCCGUAAGAAUUCCUACUUCAAACCUCAGACUUCAAAUAACUGCCAGAACUACUUGACUGAGGUUAGUUAUAUGACCGUUUCUCUUUAGGGUUUCAUUUCUCUAGCGUAAUUCUUGUUUAUAAUUUGGUGAAAUACUGAGUUGUUCUGUUGACUUUUGCAUGUGAAGUAAAGAUCAUAAUUAGCUGUGUUAACACAGAAAGGAAAUGGGAACUUUACAUUUUUUAAUUCCCUGGAGCUCUCAUUUUCAAGAGAUAUCCAUUUGCUAACUUUAUUCAAGAAAUGUGACUAAACUGACAUGUUUGAAAUGUCUUUAAAACCUGCAUUUAAGUUAGGUUUUAGAAAUUGCAUGUUAUUGCCUGAUAAGUGAUGAUAUACUUUGAGAUGGUCUGGCUUACUCUCUAAUUGAUUAUAGUUUAGCUGUGGUUCAUACCACAUUUUUUUUUCUUUUUUUUUGAGGCAGUGUCUCACUCUGUCACCCAGGCUGGAGUGUCUUGGUGCCAUCUCCACUCACUGCAACCUCCACCUCCCGGGUUCAAGUGAUUCUCCUGCCUCAGCCUCCUGAGUAGCUGAGACUACAAGCACCCACCAUUACACCCAGCUAAUGUUUGCAUUUUUAGUAGAGACAGGGUUUCACCAUAUUGACCAGGCUCUUCUUGAACUCCUGACCUUGUGAUCUGCCUGCCUGAGCCUCUCAAAGUGCUGGGAUUACAGGCAUGAGCCACCGCACCCGGCCCAUGCCACUUUUAAAGUUUCUUUGCACCAGCCAGGUGUGGUGGCUCAUGCCUGUAAUCCCAGCACUUUGGGAGGCUGAGGCAGGUGUAUCACGAGGUCAGGAGUUCAAGACCAGCCUGGCCAAGAUGGUGAAACCCCAACUCUACUAAAAGUACAAAAAAAAAUAUUAGCCUGGUGUGGUGGUGGGCACCUGUAAUCCCAGCUACUAGGAAGGCUGAGGCAGAGAAUUGCUUGAACCUGGGAGACGGAGGUUGCAGGAGCUGAGAUUGCACCACUGCACUCCAGCCUGGGUGACAGGGCAAGACUCCAUCUUGAAAAUAAAAAAAAAAUUAAAAAAGUUUAUUUGCACCAUCUCAAUUCUUCCCACCCAUAAUCACAACUGAAUGAUUAGCAUCCACUUUGCCACAUAUGGAUGUUUAUUAUUUAGUAGAAUCCAAAAUAAUUGCAUUUUAUGAAUUAAACAAAACACUAAAAUGUUCAUUUCCCUUUUUAUUUUAAAAGCUUUGUGCUUGGCCAGGCAUGGUGGCUCACACUUGUAAUCCCAAAAUUUGGGGAGGCCGAGGCAGGUGAAUCACCUGACGUCAGGAGUUUGAGACCAGCCUGGCCAACAUGAUGAAACCUGUCUCUAGUAAAAAUACAAAAAUUAGCAAGGCGUGUUGGCAGGCAUGUGUAAUCUCAGAUACUCAGGAGGCUGAGGCAGGAGAAUCACUUGAACCCAGGAGACAGAGGUUGCAGUAAGCCAAGAUCAUACCACUGCACUAUAGCCUUGGUGAUGGAGACUCUGUCUCAAAACAAAACAAAAAAAAGGUUUGUGCUUUCUUUACAUAAGAGUACAUCUUCUGACUAUAAAAAUCCUGGAAAAAACCUAGGAAAUACUCUUCUGGAUAUCAUAUUUGUCAGUUAAUUUAUGGCUAAGUCCUCAAAAGCAAUUGCAAGAAUAACAAAAAUUGACAAGUGUGAUCUAAUUUAGCUAAAUAGCUUCUGCACAGCAUGAGAAACUAUCACGAGAUUAAACAGAAAGCCUAAAAGAAUGGAAGAAAAUAUUCACAAAGUAUGGAUAUAGCAAACGCCUAUUAUCCAGAAUCCAUAAGAGACCUAAACAAAUCAACAAGCAAAAAAUAAAUAAGACCAUUAUAAAUGGGCAAAGGACAUGAACAGACAGUUCUCAAAAUAACACACGUAAGUGGCCAACAAACAUUAAAAAAUGCUUACCAUUGCUAAUCAUCAGAAAAAUGCCACACAAAACAUCAAUGAGAUACCAUUUCACACCAGUCACAAUGACUUUUGUUAAAAACAAAUAAUAAAUAAAAACUUAAAAAAGGAUGUUGGGGAGGCUGUGGAGAAAAGGGAACACAAACCGUUUGUGGCAAUGUAAAUUAAUUCAGCUACUAUGGAGAGCAGUUUGGAAAUUAAGAACUAAGAAUGACUGUUGGAUGCAGCAACCCCAUUACUAUACUAGGGGUAUACCGAAAGGACAAUAAAUCAUUGUAACAAAAAGAUGUAUACACAUGUAUGUUCAUUGCAGCACUAUUCACAAUAGCAAAGACGUGGAGUCAAUCCAGGUACAUCCAAGGUAGAUUGAAAAUCCAAGGUAGAUUGGAAAAUUCCAUAUAUACCAUGGAAUACUAUGCAGCCAUGAAAAGAACAAAAUCACAUCAUUUGCAGCAACAUGAAUACAGCUGGAAUCCACUCUCCUAAGCAAACCAACGCAGAAACAGAAACCAAAUAUCUCAUGUUUUCACUCAUGUGGGAGCUACAUAUUGGGUGCACAUUGUCAUAAAGGUGGGAAUAAUAGACACUGGGAAAUAAGAAUGGGGAGGGACAGAGUGGGCCAGGGUUGAAAAACUACUUCUUGGGUCCUAUGCUCACAACCUGUGUGAUGGGUUUAAUUGUACUGCAAACCUCGGUAUCCCUCAAUAUGCCUUUGGAAGAAACUUACAGAGGUACCACGUUAAUUUAGAAUACAAACUAGAAAAAAAAAAGAAAAGUUUACUAUAAGUAGAGAACAGAAAUUUCUUUUUAAGAUAAAAUUUAUUGAAGUAAAAAAUGGAUUAAACUUUUAUAAAGGGCAGAGUUUUCUAAGAAUUUCAAAGCAAUGCAUUCAUUGCAAAAGAUGGCUUUAAUUACUUAAUCUUUUUUUUUUUUUUUUUGUGAGACAGGGUCUCACUCUCUCACCAGGCUGGAGUGCAGUGGUGCAGUCUUGGCUCACUGCAACCUCCACCUCCUGGCUUCAAGCAAUUCUCCUGCCUUAGUAUCCCAAGUAGCUGGGACUACAGGUGCACAUCACCACGCCCAGCUAAUUUUUGUAUUUUUAGUAGAGAUGGGGUUUCCCCAUGUUGGCCAGGAUGGUCACGAUCUCCUGACCUUGUGAUCUGCUUGCUUUGGCCUCCCCAAGUGCUGGGGUUACAGGUAUCAGCCACCAUGCCUGGCCAUUGUUUAACCUUUGUACUAAUAAAACACUACCUUUCUAAAAUCAUGUAUAUGCAAUAGAUCAAUAUUAACUGCAUUUUUGUCAGAUUACUCUAAACAGCAUUACACAUAUACAUCCUCUGUUAUCUAAACUUAAAAUAAGUAGAAAUUUUAUUUUAUUUAUGUGAUUAUUUUUCUAUUUAAGCAAACUUCAAGUUAUGUCUAGUCACUAAAAAUACUAAAGGCCACAUUUUGUAAGUGAUACAUGAUUUUCAUGAUAAUGUUUCUUGUUUAAUUUAGACAUUAUUAUUAUUUUUACUUAUUUUAGAUGGGGCUGGACUGUGUAGAAUAAAUAAUUAGAGAAACAAAGAGAAGUACGUUGACAAAAUUUAUUAAUUAAAUUUAGGUUUAUUUUAGAAAUAAAGUGUAAAUAGCAAAUGGCAUUCCUUUUCAUUCUUGGGUUAGUAGAUACUACAUCAAUAUUUUUUUCUUACACACAUCUAAUGAAAGAUGUGAAAACAAAAACUUUCACAGAGAAGACUGUACUUAUGCACCAUAAAUUCAUCAUGUUCCUAAGCUUAAACAGUUCCCAAGAAGUCUGUGCAUCUCUUUUUCACUGGCUUUACAGUUUCUUAAGUUUUGCCAUCCUCAUGGAACUGUCAGCCAGCACACUGAAACGAUUCUCAGAAAACAAAAGCAUCAUCAAGUUCUCAGGGUUUCGGUAGAGAUUGAAGGCCAACAGACCUAAGACUCAUUCAGAAAUACUUAGCUGAGCAAUAACCCUUCAUAAGCAGUCACUUGACAGGUGACAUUUUAAAUCUCCUCUAAUUUAAUGUGUCAUUGGCUUACACUUGUUCUCAGGAAAAGUUCCAAAUUUUUCACCAUGAAAUAAAAACACCCAUGUCAAUGUAAUUCUUGCCAAGUUACUCAGCCUUGUUUCUCACCACUUACUGCACUCUGCCCUUUGCUCUAGCACCAAACUGGAUGGAGUGGAACUCUGCAGGGCUCUUCCUCACCUCAGGCUCUUUGCCUUUGCCUCUUUCCUCUAUCUGGGAAGCUUUUCCUUGUCCUUCAGGUAUCAACCUAUGUUAUCUCCUCCACCAGAAAGCCCAUGAUAUUGACAUAAAAGUGGGUAGAUGUCCCUUCUCUGUGUUCCAGUAGUGCCCUGCUGUAUACCUGUCACGGUAUCUAUGACUCUAUAUGGACAUUGUCUGCCUGUCUGUUUUUUAGGUUAUAGCUUAUGACUGUUGAGAGGUGGACCAUGCCAUCUUCAUCUUGUAAUUCCAGUGCUGGUUCUAGUACCUUAGCAUGUGGCUGUUGAUUACAUGAAUGAAGACUGAAAAAGUUCUGAUAUUUAAACACAAUUAGAAUUAAUGCCAUGUGUAAAUUAUUAAAUAGUAAUUUUGUAUUGUAAAUGUACAUACAUAUUUCUCAUUCUUAUUAACUCUGAUAAAGUUCUCAAGUCUUUAGUUUUUAAACUCACACUUAGUUAACUGAAGUGUUUUAGGUAAAGAACAAAAUUCUUUAUUUUUCUUUCCAGCUGUUGCUGUAUUGGACACUUGCUCCCAUCUACUUUCUUCUCUAGAAUCCACGGGUAAGCCACAUCUAAUGAAGAGAAUAUUUAACCAUAAAGUCUUAAGGAAAAAUUCUAUGAUGAUUUAAAAGAUUAUAAAACUUUAUUACUGGGCUAUUUACACAUUUUAAUUGUUUCUCAUAAAAUAUAUAACAUUCCAAUAUUUACUGAAGUAGGAUAUUUUUGUAUCAUAUGUAUGAUUAUAAUUUAUAGGGUAUUUUAAAUGAUGUUUUUUGGCCUCCUUAAGUUUUAAGUGGAUCUUGCAAAUGAAAACCAGUAUUAUUGAGUUUGACAUACUCAAAUUGCCCAAAUGUCAGCUGUUUAAACAACCAAGUCAUCACUGAUACUUUAGUAAAGGUUAGUAAAGGUCAUCGAAGGCUUAUUUGCAUUUUACAGUUUUUAUUACUUAGGAGAGUUAAGGAGUACCUGCCAGGUUUGUCCAUGUUAAUGUUACAAUUUUCUUUUUGUAGUUCAACUGUAUUUUGUAUGGAGAUACUUUGAGGCUCUGUAAAUAUCUGGUUACUCCUCAGAACCCACUAGAUUUAGCAUUUCAUGGAUGACUUGUGUUUGAACAAUUAUUACUAUGAUGGUUACCAGAUGAUUAUUUUCUUAUUCUCUUCUUUGUUCUACAUGGAGAAAUAAAACCAAUAAAUAAGGGAGAAGGAAAGCUCAUGAUUCUGAUGCUCCAAUUCCCCAAGAUUAGGCCAGUAGUAGACAUUCCAAGCUGACUUUAUGUCUCUUUGAUUUGUCUCCAUUACUCUGUCGGCACUUUUUUACUUUCUGGCAGAAGAUGUUCUAAGCUCAGCUUGUAUUUUCUCUGCGCCAGCUCUGGAAUGAGUCAUUUUUUUUAGAAGCAGAGGUGGAGCCACUGAGGAAGCACAGGUGAGCCCUCCCCAGUGUGUACUCACUGGUCCCCAACAGAAGAACCACUGCCACAUCCACUGAAGUACCAAGAAACUAGCAAAGGGCCUUCUGGCUGUCUGGGGAGAGUCCUCAUGUGGUCCCUGGCUGUCUCAGAGGUUCUGGAUUAGUCUUCCUGUAGCCUCUGUGUUCUGUCUUUAGAUCGGGGCUCUGUGGGAAGGGCCCUGAGAGACCCAACAGCACAGCGUGCCUUAUCUGCCAAAUGUCCCUCCCUUCCUCACACCCUGACACUCAGGAAUAGGGUAGAUGGUGUGUCCAGGCAGUGUCAGGCCACCUCACUUUCUCCUUUGAGACGGGCCCAGAGGGCCUUUGGGGUGAGUGUGGAGCUGGGAACCUGGAGCCUGAGGCCAACUGUCUCUCCCUGUGUCUUGGAGGAAAGGCCACGUCCCAAAAAAAAACCCCAGGGCCUGACCUCUGGGCACACAUGCAGGGAGGGAGGGUCUAUGAGCUGAGGGGGACAUUGUAAUGAGACUUUGAACCCCGUUGCUCCGAGGCCUGGUCAGUGGACCAUGGUCAGAGAUGACCUGGUCAUCAGGACCUGGUCAUUUGGGACCUGAUCAGCAGGGGCCUGGUUAGUGGCAGCCUCCUCAGUAAAGGCCUCAUCAGUGGGGACCUGGUGACCUAGUCAUUGGAAGCCUGGUCAGUGGGGGGACCUAGUCAGUGGUGGCUUUAUUAGUGGGGCCUGAUCUGUUGGAACAUAAACAAUGAAAAACUGGUUGGUGGGGCAUACACAAUAUAUCACGGGCCUGGUCAGUGUGGGGCCUUAGUGGCUUGGAGCCUGGUCAGUGAGGGCCUGGUCAGAGGGGGCUCAGUCAGCUGGGUACUCGUUCAUGGAGAAUUGUUCAGUGGGGGGUCGGUUGAGCAGCAACCUGGUAAAUUGUGGUCUUGUCAGUGGGAACCCUGUCUUGUCAAUGGGGACCAGGUCAGUGGAAAAUUGGUCAGUGGGGUCUGGCCCAUGAGGCCUAUUAAGUGUGGGCCUGGUUAGGAAGACAUGGUCAGUGGGGACUUGAUCAGUGGGACCUGGUCAAUGGAGGAGUGGUCAUUAGGGGUCUCAUCACUCAUCACUGGGAACCUGGUCAGGGGCAGUUUGUCAGUACCUGGCCUGCUGGCCACUAUGUGACCUCAGGCAGGGGGGUUGUCUGUGGAGCCUCCUUGCCUCCAUCUGCAGGGAAAGUGAGUCGGGGCACCCUGGAGGGUGGCUGGAAAGAGAAGGUGAGAAGAUGUGUUGAAUCCAAUACUGCUUGGCAGACCUAGAACUUUACAAAUGACCUGUGUUCCACCUAGAGAGGGUGCCAGCCCUCUCAGCAUUAUGCAGUGCCCCUCCUCUGUCCGCAUCCCCAGGACCACCAUGGGUGGGGAGGGCAGAGAUUGGGGAGCACCUAUAGAGGCUCUAAUGCUCUAAGGUGACAGUGAUGAGGAACUGGGUGCACCCAUGAGUGGAGAAGCUAGGCCUGUCCAGAGAAGCAAGACAAACACACACAUACACACUCACACACACACAGGCACAUAUGCAUACACAAAUACAUUGCAUACACACAUGUCAGUUCAGGGGAUAGAGGACACUGACUCUGGGCCCUGUUGACCCAAGCAGACUCCCAUGGUGGUGGGUUGUGUCACCCCACAAUGUCACUGUUGCUGAGUCCCCAUCGCCUCUGUGUUGUGGAGCAGUUAGAGACACACAGCAGUGUCUGUGAGUAGCUCUGCGUGAAGGACCAUUUUCUAGAUGAGAGGCACAUCUCAACACAGCUCACUGAUCAGAUUCAGCAAUUCCAUUCUGCAUCUUUCCUGAUCACCUCCGUGACAACACAGGACAACCCCAUCAGGGCCCUGUCACCAGGCCCAGUCUAGCUCCAUGAUAACCAAGACACAGGCCCAGAGACAAUCGUCCUACAUUGUGCCUGCAUCUGACACCCCUUGGUAGGUAGUGACCAGCACAACAUGGAAGAAGCCAGGGCAGCAUGCAGCCAGCUGCUCUGCAGCCCCAAAUGGCUCCUGGGCCUUGGGAAGUCACUCAUAAAGGGGAAGCUGGUCACUUUGAGGUCCCUGAAGGGAAGGGUGAACGUGCAUCCCAACAGCCCUGGCAGCCAGCAGCAUGCCAUACAUAUUCUCACCCAACGUGUGUGACAGAGGUCCCCUCCUGGGGCACAAGUCCCAUACCUAAAGCAUUCUGUCCCAGUCG